GAUUAAGUUAUUAAGGGCGCACGGUGGAUGCCUUGGCACUAGAAGCCGAUGAAGGACGUUACUAACGACGAUAUGCUUUGGGUAGCUGUAAGUAAGCGUUGAUCCAGAGAUUUCCGAAUGGGGGAACCCAGCAUGAGUUAUGUCAUGUUAUCGACAUGUGAAUUCAUAGCAUGUCAGAAGGCAGACCCGGAGAACUGAAACAUCUUAGUACCCGGAGGAAGAGAAAGAAAAAUCGAUUCCCUGAGUAGCGGCGAGCGAAACGGGAAAAGCCCAAACCAACAAGCUUGCUUGUUGGGGUUGUAGGACACUCUAUACGGAGUUACAAAAGAACAUGUUAGACGAAUCAUCUGGAAAGAUGAAUCAAAGAAGGUAAUAAUCCUGUAGUCGAAAACAUAUUCUCUCUUGAGUGGAUCCUGAGUACGACGGAGCACGUGAAAUUCCGUCGGAAUCUGGGAGGACCAUCUCCUAAGGCUAAAUACUCUCUAGUGACCGAUAGUGAACCAGUACCGUGAGGGAAAGGUGAAAAGUACCCCGGAAGGGGAGUGAAAGAGAACUUGAAACCGUGUGCUUACAAGUAGUCAGAGCCCGUUAAUGGGUGAUGGCGUGCCUUUUGUAGAAUGAACCGGCGAGUUACGAUCUGAUGCAAGGUUAAGCAGCAAAUGUGGAGCCGCAGCGAAAGCGAGUCUGAAUAGGGCGUUGAGUAUUUGGUCGUAGACCCGAAACCAGGUGAUCUACCCUUGGUCAGGUUGAAGUUCAGGUAACACUGAAUGGAGGACCGAACCGACUUACGUUGAAAAGUGAGCGGAUGAACUGAGGGUAGCGGAGAAAUUCCAAUCGAACUUGGAGAUAGCUGGUUCUCUCCGAAAUAGCUUUAGGGCUAGCCUCAAGUGAUGAUUAUUGGAGGUAGAGCACUGUUUGGACGAGGGGCCCCUCUCGGGUUACCGAAUUCAGACAAACUCCGAAUGCCAAUUAAUUUAACUUGGGAGUCAGAACAUGGGUGAUAAGGUCCGUGUUCGAAAGGGAAACAGCCCAGACCACCAGCUAAGGUCCCAAAAUAUAUGUUAAGUGGAAAAGGAUGUGGCGUUGCCCAGACAACUAGGAUGUUGGCUUAGAAGCAGCCAUCAUUUAAAGAGUGCGUAAUAGCUCACUAGUCGAGUGACACUGCGCCGAAAAUGUACCGGGGCUAAACAUAUUACCGAAGCUGUGGAUUGUCCUUUGGACAAUGGUAGGAGAGCGUUCUAAGGGCGUCGAAGCAUGAUCGCAAGGACAUGUGGAGCGCUUAGAAGUGAGAAUGCCGGUGUGAGUAGCGAAAGACGGGUGAGAAUCCCGUCCACCGAUUGACUAAGGUUUCCAGAGGAAGGCUCGUCCGCUCUGGGUUAGUCGGGUCCUAAGCUGAGGCCGACAGGCGUAGGCGAUGGAUAACAGGUUGAUAUUCCUGUACCACCUAGUAUCGUUUUAAUCGAUGGGGGGACGCAGUAGGAUAGGCGAAGCGUGCUGUUGGAGUGCACGUCCAAGCAGUAAGGCUGAGUGUUAGGCAAAUCCGGCACUCAUAAGGCUGAGCUGUGAUGGGGAGAGGAAAUUGUUUCCUCGAGUCG
This 1595-nucleotide ribosomal RNA is filed under the name Staphylococcus epidermidis. Its description in RNAcentral is "partial 23S ribosomal RNA". It matches the Rfam family "Bacterial large subunit ribosomal RNA", at positions 1 to 1593 of the family's 2925-position model. The record is from RNAcentral. Lineage: Bacteria; Bacillati; Bacillota; Bacilli; Caryophanales; Staphylococcaceae.